Non-coding RNA from Nylanderia fulva, 345 nucleotides. Lineage: Eukaryota; Metazoa; Arthropoda; Insecta; Hymenoptera; Formicidae. The record is from RefSeq and is a predicted model, not a curated record.
UUAAAAAGAACAUAUAAAUUUGUUACUGAUCAUAAUAAAAAAUCAGGAAAUAAUAGGAGGAAAUGGGAAUAUUAUGAGGUUAUGCAUGAGAUAUUUGGAACAAAACCUUGGGUUGAACCAAUAGCAACAGCUGGAAGUAGCGUUAAUACUUCUGCUAAUAUUAAUGAUACUACAAAUAAUACAGAGAACAAUGACGCAAUAAAAUCAGUGCCAAAGAAACGAAAAAUUCAAAACGCAGUAGAAGAUUAUUUAGAAAAAUCUUUAGAAAUGAAAGCAGAAAAAGAGAUAAAUGCUAAAAAAAGACAUGAAGAAAAAAUGACUCGUCUAACAAGUAUUGAAAAUUUA